UACGUAGGGUGCGAGCGUUAAUCGGAAUUACUGGGCGUAAAGCGUGCGCAGGCGGCUUCGCAAGUCAGGCGUGAAAUCCCCGGGCUUAACCUGGGAAUGGCGUCUGAAACUACGGAGCUGGAGUGUGGCAGAGGGAGGUAGAAUUCCACGUGUAGCGGUGAAAUGCGUAGAUAUCAGGAGGAACACCGAUGGCGAAGGCAGGUCUCUGGGCCGAUACUGACGCUGAGGAGCGAAAGCGUGGGGAGCGAACAGG
This 253-nucleotide ribosomal RNA is filed under the name uncultured bacterium. RNAcentral describes it as "partial 16S ribosomal RNA". It matches the Rfam family "Bacterial small subunit ribosomal RNA", at positions 524 to 776 of the family's 1533-position model. The record is from RNAcentral.